Molecule: long non-coding RNA, 1108 nt
Filed under: Daucus carota (carrot)
Lineage: Eukaryota; Viridiplantae; Streptophyta; Magnoliopsida; Apiales; Apiaceae
Description: long non-coding RNA (DCAR_LNC006975)
Source: RNAcentral
GGGAGCAAAAGAGUGAUGGACGUUGAGACCUAUUCGUACAAUUUAAGGGGUGUAUAAACGAUCACUUUCAUCAUGAAUACCCAAGAACAGCAAAAAAUGACGUAUAUUAGUUGGACACACAAACAAUUCUAUCACAAGGAAAAAGAUGUUACUUAUAGAAAUCUUCAGAACUGACAUAUUUAAGAUGGAAGGAUAAGAAACGUGGCAUGUUAGAUUCAUAUGCCGGUAUUUUCUUGGAGAAAAGUUGGCUAGUUUUGCCUUUUCGUGUAAUAUCAAUUUGUGAGACUAGGUCAGAAACUGCAGCUAGAGUGCCCAUUUGGAAGUCACUCAUAGUACGAAACGCCUCCCAUUUAUCAGCUUCCAGGAUAACAGAGCAUAUAUCCUUUGAUUAUGGCACGACCCAGCGGGGCAUAAAUUGCCCAGAGUUGGUUCACCAAUCGCGUAAGGAAGGGGAUAGUCCCCACCAUCACAUGCCUGAAAGAGUCGUUUGAACCACGGAAGACUGCGCCAAUGCCUCAAGUGUUACCAAUUUCAGAAGGAACGAGAGAAUGUGUUCCAUGAACGUUUACUUUCAGAGUGCCUGGGUUGGGUGGAAUCCAGUGAUAUGCCAUGUUUGCGCUGUUGAAAAAGAAAGUAGAGCCCCGAAUUUUUAUGGCUGCAUACUUGCAAAAUUUGGAGAAGAUUUGUACUACUUAACGUUUGUAAGUAAAUGCUCGACUGAAGCUUGAGAAGAACCACCUGAGUUCAUCAUUGCUAAUACAGUUGACUUACACAUGGAACUCAGCAUGUAUUAGCAAGUGAAGAUACGGAAUCAAUGUAGGGAGUUCCAUGCAAGUUAAUAUACUUUGAUAAUUCUAUAUGAAGCAGUCUAGUAAUGACAACAAAAGUAGCCCUCUCUUGCAGGUCCAUGAUGAAAGCCAAUUAAAAGAAUUUUGCCAAGCAUAACUUCAUGUUUUCUGCCGACCACAAAGCAUGACCUACUAAAUUAAUGUUUUUGACGUAGUAAAGCAGCAUCUCAACUAGAGAAGCGUGAAGUACAGAGAAAGGCAAGGCCCUCUCUUUCCUUGUCACACCUAUGGAAAGUACUUCUCACGCAAGGCAAGGAGAG